GGAAUAUUGGACAAUGGGCGAAAGCCUGAUCCAGCAAUGCCGCGUGAGUGAUGAAGGCCUUAGGGUUGUAAAGCUCUGUUACUGGGGAUGAUAAUGACAGUACCCAGAGAAUAAGCCCCGGCUAACUCCGUGCCAGCAGCCGCGGUAAUACGGAGGGGGCUAGCGUUGUUCGGAAAUACUGGGCGUAAAGCGCACGGAGGCGGCGACUCAAGUCAGAGGUGAAAGCCCGGGGCUCAACCCCGGAACUGCCUUUGAAACUAGGUUGCUAGAAUCUUGGAGAGGUCAGUGGAAUUCCGAGUGUAGAGGUGAAAUUCGUAGAUAUUCGGAAGAACACCAGUGGCGAAGGCGACUGACUGGACAAGUAUUGACGCUGAGGUGCGAAAGCGUGGGGAGCAAA
RNAcentral lists this ribosomal RNA (397 nucleotides) under uncultured bacterium. RNAcentral's name for it is "bacterial SSU rRNA". It matches the Rfam family "Bacterial small subunit ribosomal RNA", at positions 358 to 772 of the family's 1533-position model. The record is from RNAcentral.